Molecule: ribosomal RNA, 250 nt
Filed under: uncultured prokaryote
Description: partial 16S ribosomal RNA
Rfam family: Bacterial small subunit ribosomal RNA
Source: RNAcentral
UACGUAGGGGGCAAGCGUUAUCCGGAUUUACUGGGUGUAAAGGGAGCGUAGGCGGGAAGGCAAGUCAGAUGUGAAAUCUCCGGGCUCAACCCGGAAAUUGCAUUUGAAACUGUUUUUCUAGAGUAUUGGAGAGGCAAGCGGAAUUCCUAGUGUAGCGGUGAAAUGCGUAGAUAUUAGGAGGAACACCAGUGGCGAAGGCGGCUUGCUGGACGACAACUGACGCUGAGGCGCGAAAGCGUGGGGAGCAAAC